This 102-nucleotide microRNA precursor is filed under the name Anopheles funestus (African malaria mosquito). Its description in RNAcentral is "mir-965 microRNA precursor family". The stretch from base 16 to 87 matches the Rfam family "mir-965 microRNA precursor family". The record is from RNAcentral. Lineage: Eukaryota; Metazoa; Arthropoda; Insecta; Diptera; Culicidae.
GCGCAAAUCGACGAAUUCUGAACGGGGGAUGCUGUGCGCUCUAUGUGCUAAAAAUACCCAUAAGCGUAUAGCUUUUCCCAUUUAGCGUUCGUUACAUGCAAG